GGCCUGGUAGUUCAGUUGGUUAGAAUGCCAGCCUGUCACGCCGGAUGUCGUGUGUUCGAACCCCUUCCAGGUCGCCA
Molecule: transfer RNA, 77 nt
Filed under: Clostridioides difficile
Lineage: Bacteria; Bacillati; Bacillota; Clostridia; Peptostreptococcales; Peptostreptococcaceae
Description: tRNA-Asp
Rfam family: tRNA
About the family: Transfer RNA (tRNA) molecules are approximately 80 nucleotides in length. Their secondary structure includes four short double-helical elements and three loops (D, anti-codon, and T loops).
Source: RNAcentral